RNAcentral lists this ribosomal RNA (253 nucleotides) under uncultured bacterium. RNAcentral's name for it is "partial 16S ribosomal RNA". It matches the Rfam family "Bacterial small subunit ribosomal RNA", at positions 524 to 776 of the family's 1533-position model. The record is from RNAcentral.
UACGAAGGGGGCAAGCGUUGUUCGGAAUUACUGGGCGUAAAGGGCGCGUAGGCGGCUUAUCAAGUCAGGCGUGAAAUUCCCGGGCUCAACCUGGGGGCUGCGCUUGAUACUGAUUGGCUUGAAUGCGGGAGAGGAUAGUGGAAUUCCCAGUGUAGAGGUGAAAUUCGUAGAUAUUGGGAAGAACACCGGUGGCGAAGGCGGCUUUCUGGACGGUAACUGACGCUGAGACGCGAAAGCGUGGGGAGCAAACAGG